GGCACGGCCCCCGCGGAGUUGAGGAGCUCACGGCUGGGGCUCACAACUCCCGGCGCAGACUGCACGUCUUUGUAGCACUGUUGGAGGAAUGAGCAUGGAGAAGGAGUGGGAAGGGGAGAGGUGUCUUUGUGGAUUUUGCCAACGGAAGGAGCCGGCUUGGAGCGAGGACCGGAGGGCUGUCUCCUUUCAAGAACGGGGACCUGCCCGGCCAGCGGCUGCCUGUGCGCGGGAUCCCCGCUCGCUGCGGGCGCUGAUCCAUUCCCGGUCCCGGCUCUCCGGGGCACCGCUGCGGGCACUGACAAGUGGUGAGUUGCGCUCUCCCUCCGCGCUCCCGCUCCGCGCCUCCCGCCCGCCCGCGGGGAGCAGCGCGGCCCCGCGACGUCCCCGCCGAGGCCGCAGGUGCGGCCGCCGCCCCGCGCCCCCUUCACCUGCCGCAGGCCGCGGAGGGUGCGCGCCGGGCGGGGCGCCGGGCCCGCCGCGCCCCGCGGGGAACGGGCGGUUCGCCGCUGUGCCGGCACCCUCGGGAGCUACAGGUGCCCGCUCCCCACGGUGUCCGCUCCCCACGGUGUCCGCUCCCCACGGUGUCCGGCCACCGGCCCCGUCCCGCUGCCUCCGCGUGGCUUCUGCGGCGACUUUCGCCAGGCACAAAUAACUGCAAAUGCGCGUGCGAACCGUCUGAUCAGGUCGUGUGCAAGCCAGAAAAACCUCCUAAAUCAUCACAGCGUAACGUGUGAUUAAUAAAUCACACAUAAAUAAGUCAGUUAAAAUGUAUGGUCUGUAGAAAGAGGAAUUAUUUAAACAUUUCUACUUAGCCGGAAUUUCCAUCAACUUCUCUGCGUUUUCCUUUCAGGAUGUAUUUGGGGAUUAUAAGGCAGUUCAGCUAGGACAGCAUUCUUCAGCUCCACAUUUUGAUUAUCAAAAAUAGAAUGAAUGUAAUAGUGGCUUUUCAAGGACAGCAAUUACUAUCUUUUAAAGUAACUGACAGCAUUAACCUACUUCAGCCAUCCAAGUGUAAACUAUAAUGUUUUUUAAAAUGAAUUUUAUAUAGAAUCUCUGUUGGGAUUAUAAAGUGAAGAUUUGGAAUAUAUGUUCCUUUAGUCUGUGAAUUUCUACUUUUCCUCUCAUCUUUGAAGGAUUUUAUGAAACAUAAUAUUGAGGGUAGUAAGAUGAUGAUGUAGAGCUGAAUACUUGAGACUGUAAUUGUUAGUAGGAAGAGACCUGUUUUCAAGUAAAGUGAAAAUAAUUUGUAGUUUAUUGUACAAAUAACAAAUUUAGAAAAAUGACAGAUAUUUCUCUAUAAUGUGUCAACUUUAGUCUGAAAUACAGUGAAACAGAUAAAUAAUAACUUGUUAUAUACUUUGAGAAGAAAUCUUAGAUAUUUUGAGUGCUGGGUCUAAUAACUUAUUCUGUGUCAUUUUAUAGACACUUAGAAAAGGUGCUUCUUACCUGCUUGAUAAAUAGUUCAUAAAAUAUUAAUAAAAUCAAUUAGUAUCUGUUAGCAAUUCCUGCUGUCCAGAAAGUGAAGGAGGAUGUAUUGUGACUGGGCUAUAACGUUCUCUUUUGAUUAGUCUGAAAAUUACCCACUCCAUAAGCAAUGACUCAGUUGAUUUGGCAUAUCUUACAAAGAUACUUUACUUACAAAUUGAAUCUUGGAAGGCUGUGGUUCCAGAGUCGGGGUUUUGGGGGCGAGAUGAGCUUAUGUUUUAUCCAACUGGCCCACAAAGUCCCGCUUUUGGUGGUCACUUUGUUCUGCAAAAGAAAACAGCACAUUAUGGCUCUUACACUGGACAGUAAACUUAGUAGUAAACUUCUGCUGCACUUAGUAAAGGGCUAUUAUGCACUUUAAAUAGAUAAUCAUGUUCUAGCUUUAAUGUUGUCUUCAGCAAUAAAAAAGUGGAUAGAAAAUAAAAUAAUUCUGAAAGUUAAACGGAGAAGUUUUCUAACUGUUGGUGGUGUUUUUCUCUUAAAAAAACAGCAAAAGCUGAAGAAAAAGUCACCUUUCAAAGGGUGGUCAUGCAAUACAGGUGAAUUGGGAGAAAAGACAGUUCCCAGAAAAGAGAGGCAGUUUAAACCUUGAAAAAAUCUUUUAAACCCUGGUAGCAUUUGUAUUGUCAAUCCCCGCCUCUUUUUUUUUGUUCACAACAUAUUCAUUAUAACGUAUCUCUUGAACGUUCCUUUCUGUGUGUCUGUGUGUGUCCACAUGUGCAUGGUCUUUAUCUGUGAUUCAAUUUAAAGACUGCUGAUUUUUGUACUGGUAAAAGUUGUGGAAUUUAUUAUUGUGAGUAAGGCAGGGUAAACCUGUUUAAGUUCAUGUUACUAUUUACAUUUUUGUAUCAAUAUCCUGAAUAACUGAAGUAUUAUUUUUACUUAAAAGUUACACAGCUGUACUUUCCUCAUGGGAUUCUAGAAAGUGUUGAAAACACUGGUAGAGGUACUGAACUUUCUCGUGGUUCCAACUAUACUGCACAGAUAUUUAACAGUAAAUGAACACAUGAUACAAAUUGUAAUUUUUACAAUGUUUCAGCAUAUUCACAUAACAUAUAUGCGGGAGCUCAGCUGGUGUAAAGGUGUCUGGCAUAGUUUUGACAUUUAAUGCCAGCUAAUCAAUCACCUGCUUAAGCUACACAUAAACAUCCAGACAUUCACAUUGUGAUCACAUUGUCACUGCAGUCAGGUUAAUUUUAAGAGUUGACCUAUACAGACUGAAUCAAUUUGACUAUUUCAAAAAGGCCUGGAAAUUCAGCUGAAGUGAGACAGUGAUACACUGUGAAAGCAAAGUUGUUGGCAUGUGAUUUAUCUGAUGACUACAUGCAGGAUCUGUACAUUUAUGCAAAUGAAUAUCAGGAUGAGUUAUCAAGAUUUUUCUAUAGAAUUCUCACAUUUUACAUUUUUUAGCAAUAUAAUUGCAACAAAAGUGAAAUAGGACGUAUCCAAACAUCAGUGCAACAAAUUCCUCACUUGUUUAAGACUGAAAUCUGAUUUGGAGGAGCUUAGAUUAAAUAAUAACUGUGGUGCUAAUAUGCUUUUUAGUUACUAUUUUCCAUUACAAUAAUACUGUUCAGAAGCAGCAUUUAUGAAAGAUUAAUUUUUCAUAAGCCAAUUAAGUUAAAAAUGUAACUGUAGAAAUUUUUUAUUUUUGACUUAUACUAGAGUAAAUUAGUACUUAGUUUGUGAAUACAUUCCAGACUUGUCCAAUCUUCCUAGCUGUCAGAUUUGGAUUGGUUUAAUUCCUGUGGUUGCUUCUCUAGUAUUCUGAGAAUGUAAGAGCAGAGAAUUAGAGAUGAGAAAGUGGAUCAAUGUGAGGAUCUUGCUUUAAGGGAAAAGAGAAACAUAUCCAAACAUCAGCAAAGAUCAGCUCUGCUCUGCUGAAAUACCACAGUUGCUUCUUACCAACUGUUACUUAAAAGCUCUUAAAUUAAAACGUAAUUUUGUGCAGCUACUUCCAGUAAGAUGUAAAGAUCACACUUUGUUAAUCAUCUAUUUUUAGAUUAUUUUUUAAAAUAGAUUCUAUCUGGCUCUCUACUGAGGAUAUAUAAAAUUCACUUGCAUUGCUUCUAGCACCAAUAACCUAGCUAUAGAAUUAAUACACUACUUAAAUGAUUAAUAAGCAGUGUUAAAGACCACAGUUACGCUUCCGUAGGCCUCCCUCAUACAAUAUUUUUAUUCACAUUUUUUUUCCCAUCAAUAAGCUUACAGAAAGAGCUCCUGUUUGUCUCUGGUGUGCAGUAGAACCAACAGCACAUAUAUAACCAACAGCAGCAUCUAUAUCUGCUGCUAUAGAUAUCAUGUGUAUAUUUUAAUCUUUAAAUGUAUGUUCAUUUUGUAUGUUUUACUUAAAUUAAUGAUGAUUAGACAAAACAUUGAUAGAUUUUCUAAACAUCUGUGUUAUAAAAAUUUGAUCUCUUUCCCUCACACUGGUUUUCCCAGCAGGUUUGCGUGCAGCUUGGGGUGCUGGCCUCAGAGCUGAGACUCCUGAAGUGCACUGUGUAUCCACAGUAUUAAUAAUUCAAUAUCUGGGAUCAAUCUAUCUUGCUAUUUGAUAUGAAAAAAAGAAAUUUACAGAAGAUAAAAAGUAGAUGGUCUGUUUGUAAUAAAAAUUUAAAUUUUCUUCAGAUAAAAAUGUAAUUAAUUAUUGAAAUAAAAAUAUUUAGAAAUAUCAACCCCAAUUAUUUAUUACAUUUAUAAUUUACGAAAUUGAAUGUCCUACUAGCUAUCUUUCUAUUUAGAAUAAAUUUAAAACUACA
RNA transcript from Pyrgilauda ruficollis (rufous-necked snowfinch), 4244 nucleotides. RefSeq lists it as uncharacterized. Lineage: Eukaryota; Metazoa; Chordata; Aves; Passeriformes; Passeridae. The record is from RefSeq and is a predicted model, not a curated record. The transcript has 2 exons.